AAAAAUGAAGGCCAAGGGCCAGUAGCUAUUGCACAUCUUUUGCACACACCCCUCGAGCCCCCACCUCAAUUGCCAAAACCUUUAAUACCAUUAGUGAGGUUCUCUAGUGAUGCUCUGGUGAUGGUGCCCUAGGCAAAAAAAUGUAGCACUGGCACAUGCUCAAGCCCAGCUUGUGCAUCAUGGCCUAUAAUCAAACUUCAACCAAGGACUUACCAUCAAUGGCAUAUGUUAGUGCAUGGUGCAGGCACAUGCCUCUACCAUCAUUGGCACGUGUUGGUGCAUGGUUCGGGCACAUGUCUCGACCAUCAUUGGCAUAAGCUACUUUUUGGUAUAGGCACUUACCUUAACCACCAUCAGCAUAAGCUAGCCCUUGGUAUGGGCAUUUGUCUCGACCACUACUGGCACAUACUGGCCUUUGGUGUGGGCACCUACUUUAAUCAGCGUCAGUAGAAAAUUCCCCUUGGUGCAAGUAGUUACCUCGACUGCCAUUGGCACAUGCUAUCCUUUUCUAUGAGCACUUAUCUCAAACACCAUUAGCACAUGCUUGGCCUUAAUGUGGGCCCAUGCCUUGACCACUAUUGACACCUAUGAACUCUUAGUGUAGGAUAUGACUAUUUGAAAAUAGUGUCCCUAUUUUAGAUAGUUUAAUGUUUACUACAAGUAUAUAUGUAAAAUCUUUCAUGCUCUUCAAGGGAUGGUUGUUCAGGUCCCUUUCCCCCCCACAAAGGGAGUAGGUAUGUGUAAUAGGCCUGUCAUUAUGUAUAUCCAUGCCGACAUCCCUAUAGAAAAAUCUAGGUUGUGUAUGCCUUUUGGUCAUGCUAUUUGGUGACUUCUUGCUUCGGUGACUUGUAGGCACCCAUGGCCUAGAUAGGCUAGCAUGCAUAUAGAAAUGUGCCUUGGCUAUGCUGAGCUCAAGCUUGUGCCUAUGGCUGAUGCUACCCCAAAACCUAGAGGAAGUCCCUGAAUAGGGUAGUAGCUCUUAGGGUGGUGUAAGUAGAAGCUAUGGUCAUAGGCUAGGUCUUGCCAAGUAUCUUAAGUAUUUGGCUAUCUCAUGGUCCUUUCCAACCACUGAAGGAGAGUGAGCAUUGGUGAAUCGACCAUCAGUGCAAAUCUUAGUGGUAGUAGUAAUUAUUCAAAUGAAAACUUUUAAGGUUGAAGUAGGGAAAAGUUCCAUGUGAACAGCACUUGCACAUGGGUUAGACGAUCCUAGAAGAUGGGGGAAGCCUGUUCAAUAGUGUGUCUAGCAUAAGCUUUGAAAACUAAUCGGGUUAAAAUUCCUAAACCAAGAUGCAAUGAUUGACAGUAAGAUUAGGGAGUCUGAGACAUUGGGGGGCUUUAGGAAGAGUUAUCUUUUCUAUUUAAUAGCCUCCCUAACCUAAAAAUGGCUCAGUUAGAGGUAAGGUCUAGUGGCUAGAAGAGCACUAUAUGUCACAUGGUGUCUAGUAUGCCCCUGAUGACCUUUGAAAAUCUAGAGGAUCAAGUGUUGUCCAUGCCCAUCAUAUUCAUAACCACAUAUGGUUUCCAAGGUGAAUAGCCUCUAGUCGAUGGAACAAUAUAGGUAAGGGAAGUUAGCAAAAUGGAUCCAUUAGCUUGAGAAAAGGAUUGGCUUUGAGGGUUGGACAUAGGGGUCCUAGUCUCGAACUUGUAGAUUGGCUAUGCACUGCUCAAGCCACUCCCAUAGUGAGAGCUAGUCAUCACAUGCCAACCUAAAGAUGAACUGGGAAUGGCUCCCUUAGGGGCUUUCCCUAGGUAAUGAAUAGUUAACUCAACAUUGGUAUGGACAAAAGGAAUCUGACUAUUUAAUUAAAACAAACCAUAGUGAUGGUCCUUGCAGAUACUCAUGUAAUGUGAUUUUUGCCCAGUGCUCUAAAUGUCAAAGUGAAGAAAUUCAACCAAGUAAGGGUAAACAACAGGAGUAACUAUGACUCUUUUAAGGUAGCCAAAUGCCUCAUCAUCUUACUAACAUGCAUGAUUAGAUUAAUGAGAUUCCUACUAUCCCUAUCUAUUAUCCAGCGAAGCCAUAGCUAAGGGAAUGGGCUCAACAAAAUUAGCAAGGAAAGAAAACCCAUAUUAGCUUGACUCUAGUUUGACUUUGUGAAAUGACUUUAGAGGUGUAGAAUGAUAGGAACCUUGAGGCAAAAUUGAAAUACCAUUACUUUUAAUGUUAUUUACUUAUUCAAUGAAUAAGAUACAGGGCAUGAUCCCUUCUUUUGGCCCAAGGCCAGCCUCAGUCGAUCAAUCUGGGUAGAAAACAUUGUCAGCUAGAGAGCUUGGUUAUGGUAGCACAUCUGUUAAAAGAUAACACAAGUGUCCUAAAAUGAUCGCAAUGAGAACAAAAAUCUCGUGUCAAACAAAAAGGUUAAAGCUUGUUUGAUUUUAAGUUCUAGUAUGAAUACAAACCAUGAAAGCAUGGCCUAUCAAUCCUUUAGACCUUCAAAAUUUGAAGCUAGAGAUGUCAGAAAGUUACCACAAGAAUAAUUGGCUUGUGGCAACCAAGUAUUCAUAGCGACGUUGCUUUUUUAUCCUUCAAUGUUGGCUCUUCCUAUCAUUCUGAAGCAGAAUUCACCAAGUGUUGGAUUGUUCACCCACCAAUAAGGAUUGUGAGUUGGUUUGGGACCAUUAUGAGAUAGGUUAGUCUUAGACUACUGAUGGUAGCAUCGCAAUAGUAAUUCAACCUAAUAUGAGAGGAAUCAUUGAUUUGCAUAAUUGGUCAUCAUGCUUGGUUGAAAAGCUAGCAGCAUGAAGCUACCAUGUGCUAGAUUAUGACUGAACACCUCUAAGUCAUAAUCCAAGCUAGAAGUGAUGCAUGCAUCUAUCACCUUGUUGUCAACCCACAGUAGAGGCCCAUGGCCCCCAAAGGCAUGUGUCAUAGGUGUAGCCCUUAUGGUGGACAAGCUACGUAGGCAUCCUUAGAGCUCAAUUCCCACUGAGUGGUAGGUAGAUCCUUUAUAGAUGACUUAAAUACAUGAUGAGGUAUUGUAAGUGGUAGAGUGGCCUUGCUACCAUGAUCUACUAAGAUUUA
RNAcentral lists this ribosomal RNA (3022 nucleotides) under Durio zibethinus. Its description in RNAcentral is "eukaryotic LSU rRNA". The stretch from base 881 to 3022 matches the Rfam family "Eukaryotic large subunit ribosomal RNA". The record is from RNAcentral. Lineage: Eukaryota; Viridiplantae; Streptophyta; Magnoliopsida; Malvales; Malvaceae.